ACCUGGGUAGCUUAGUUAGUUAAGUGUCAGACUCUUAAUUUCAGUUCAGGUCAUGAUCUCAGGGUUGUGGGAUCAAGUCCCACAUCAGGUU
This 91-nucleotide transfer RNA is filed under the name Canis lupus familiaris (dog). It matches the Rfam family "tRNA". From Rfam's summary of the family: Transfer RNA (tRNA) molecules are approximately 80 nucleotides in length. Their secondary structure includes four short double-helical elements and three loops (D, anti-codon, and T loops). Further hydrogen bonds mediate the characteristic L-shaped molecular structure. tRNAs have two regions of fundamental functional importance: the anti-codon, which is responsible for specific mRNA codon recognition, and the 3' end, to which the tRNAs corresponding amino acid is attached (by aminoacyl-tRNA synthetases). tRNAs cope with the degeneracy of the genetic code in two manners: having more than one tRNA (with a specific anti-codon) for a particular amino acid; and 'wobble' base-pairing, i.e. permitting non-standard base-pairing at the 3rd anti-codon position. Lineage: Eukaryota; Metazoa; Chordata; Mammalia; Carnivora; Canidae. The record is from Rfam by way of RNAcentral.